GAAGUUAGCGGCGGACGGGUGAGUAACACGUGGGUAACCUGCCCAUAAGACUGGGAUAACUCCGGGAAACCGGGGCUAAUACCGGAUAAUAUUUUGAACUGCAUAGUUCGAAAUUGAAAGGCGGCUUCGGCUGUCACUUAUGGAUGGACCCGCGUCGCAUUAGCUAGUUGGUGAGGUAACGGCUCACCAAGGCAACGAUGCGUAGCCGACCUGAGAGGGUGAUCGGCCACACUGGGACUGAGACACGGCCCAGACUCCUACGGGAGGCAGCAGUAGGGAAUCUUCCGCAAUGGACGAAAGUCUGACGGAGCAACGCCGCGUGAGUGAUGAAGGCUUUCGGGUCGUAAAACUCUGUUGUUAGGGAAGAACAAGUGCUAGUUGAAUAAGCUGGCAC
This 394-nucleotide ribosomal RNA is filed under the name Bacillus cereus. Its description in RNAcentral is "bacterial SSU rRNA". It matches the Rfam family "Bacterial small subunit ribosomal RNA", at positions 88 to 475 of the family's 1533-position model. The record is from RNAcentral. Lineage: Bacteria; Bacillati; Bacillota; Bacilli; Caryophanales; Bacillaceae.